AACGAACGCUGGCGGCGCGCCUAAUACAUGCAAGUCGAGCGAGAAGGUGUAGCAAUACACUUGUAAAGCGGCGAACGGGUGAGGAAUACAUGGGUAAUCUACCAUCGAGUGGGGAAUAACCAGCCGAGAGGUUGGCUAAUACCGCGUACGCCUCCGAAUCUUCGGGUUCGGAGGGAAAGCCACACUGUGAGUGCGGCGCUCUUUGAUGAGCUCAUGUCCUAUCAGCUUGUUGGUAGGGUAACGGCCUACCAAGGCUUUGACGGGUAGCUGGUCUGAGAGGACGAUCAGCCACACUGGCACUGCGACACGGGCCAGACUCCUACGGGAGGCAGCAGUAAGGAAUAUUGCGCAAUGGGCGAAAGCCUGACGCAGCGACGCCGCGUGGGGGAUGAAGGUCUUCGGAUUGUAAACCCCUUUCGGGAGGGAAGAUGGAGCGAGCAAUCGUUCGGACGGUACCUCCAGAAGCAGCCACGGCCAACUUCGUGCCAGCA
Molecule: ribosomal RNA, 491 nt
Filed under: uncultured bacterium
Lineage: Bacteria
Description: bacterial SSU rRNA
Rfam family: Bacterial small subunit ribosomal RNA
Source: RNAcentral